RNAcentral lists this ribosomal RNA (482 nucleotides) under uncultured bacterium. Its description in RNAcentral is "partial 16S ribosomal RNA". It matches the Rfam family "Bacterial small subunit ribosomal RNA", at positions 30 to 507 of the family's 1533-position model. The record is from RNAcentral.
AUUGAACGCUGGCGGCAUGCUUUACACAUGCAAGUCGAACGGUAACAGGCCGCAAGGUGCUGACGAGUGGCGCACGGGUGAGUAAUGCAUCGGAACGUGCCCAGUCGUGGGGGAUAACUACUCGAAAGAGUAGCUAAUACCGCAUACGAUCUAUGGAUGAAAGCGGGGGACCGUAAGGCCUCGCGCGAUUGGAGCGGCCGAUGUCAGAUUAGGUAGUUGGUGGGGUAAAGGCUCACCAAGCCAACGAUCUGUAGCUGGUCUGAGAGGACGACCAGCCACACUGGGACUGAGACACGGCCCAGACUCCUACGGGAGGCAGCAGUGGGGAAUUUUGGACAAUGGGCGCAAGCCUGAUCCAGCAAUGCCGCGUGCAGGAAGAAGGCCUUCGGGUUGUAGACUGCUUUUGUACGGAACGAAACGGCUCUGGUUAAUACCCGGGGCUAAUGACGGUACCGUAAGAAUAAGCACCGGCUAACUACGUG